This 323-nucleotide unclassified non-coding RNA is filed under the name soil metagenome. RNAcentral describes it as "partial contains 5.8S ribosomal RNA, internal transcribed spacer 2, and large subunit ribosomal RNA". The stretch from base 1 to 120 matches the Rfam family "5.8S ribosomal RNA", at positions 35 to 154 of the family's 154-position model. The record is from RNAcentral.
GAUGAAGAACGCAGCGAAAUGCGAUAAGUAGUGUGAAUUGCAGAAUUCAGUGAAUCAUCGAAUCUUUGAACGCACAUUGCGCCCCUUGGUAUUCCAUGGGGCAUGCCUGUUCGAGCGUCAUUUGUACCUUCAAGCUUUGCUUGGUGUUGGGUGUUUGUCCUGAGGGACUCGCCUUAAAGUAAUUGGCAGCCAGUGUUUGGUUUUGAAUCGCAGCACAAGUCGCGAUUCAAAGCUAUACGCCCGCUUCCACAAGCCUUUUUCACUUUUGACCUCGGAUCAGGUAGGGAUACCCGCUGAACUUAAGCAUAUCAAUAAGCGGAGGA